RNAcentral lists this ribosomal RNA (771 nucleotides) under uncultured Chrysophyceae. Its description in RNAcentral is "bacterial SSU rRNA". It matches the Rfam family "Eukaryotic small subunit ribosomal RNA", at positions 623 to 1421 of the family's 1831-position model. Lineage: Eukaryota; Chrysophyceae. The record is from RNAcentral.
UAACCUCGUAAUUGGAUUUCUGUUUUUUAAAUCGGGCGAAACCUCACGGUUUCUGCCCCCGUUUCUUAGAUGCAUCCUCAGGGUUCUGAUAUUUGGUAUUAAUUUAUCCGAUUUUUGGUCCUUGUCAUUUACUGUGUAUUUCCUAUAGUGUUUAUUUGAUGCUUAUUGCUUGAAUACUUUACCAUGGAAUACUAAAAUAGGAACUUGGUCUAUUUUGUUGGUUUACAUUCCAAGGUAAUGAUUAAUAUGGAUAGUUGGCGGUAUUCUUAUUCUAUUGCCACACGUGAAAUUCUUGGAUUUAUGGAACAUCAAAUACUGCUCAGCCCUUUACCGUGGAUGUUUUCAUUACUCGCGAACGAAAGUUACGGGAUCCAACAUGAUUAUAUUCCAUCGCACUCCUAACCUUGAACUAUGCCCACUAGUCCCUCUUGGAAUAUAUCAAAGUUCCAUCAACACCUUACGAGAAAGCAACAUGUUUGGGUUCCGGGGGGAGUAUGAUGUCAAGGUUUUUUCUGUUCGAACUUGACAAUGCGAACAUGCCACACCCCUUAGCCUGCCUCUAAAUUUGACUCAGUCUGGAAAACUUACCAGGUCCGGACAUAGUGAGGAUUGACAGAUUGAGAGCUCUUUCUUGAUUCUAUGGGUGGUGGUGCAUGGCCGUUCUUAAUUGGCGUAGUGAUUUGUCCGGGUAAUUCCACUCACCACCGAAACCCCCGACUGUGAUUUAUUUAAUAGAGUACAAUGUAUUCUAUAUAACUUCUUAGAGGGACU